GAUGAAGAACGCAGCGAAAUGCGAUAAGUAGUGUGAAUUGCAGAAUUCAGUGAAUCAUCGAAUCUUUGAACGCACAUUGCGCCCUUUGGUAUUCCUUAGGGCAUGCCUGUUCGAGCGUCAUUUAAACCUUCAAGCUCAGCUUGGUGUUGGGUGACUGUCCGCUUCACCGCGGACUCGCCUCAAAAUUAUUGGCGGCCGGUACAUUGGCUCUCGAGCGCAGCAGAAACGCGUAACUCGAGGUCCUCGUGCUGGCUCCCAGAAGCUAUCUUCACAAUUUUGACCUCGGAUCAGGUAGGGAUACCCGCUGAACUUAAGCAUAUCAAUAAGCGGACGA
RNAcentral lists this unclassified non-coding RNA (334 nucleotides) under soil metagenome. Its description in RNAcentral is "partial contains 5.8S ribosomal RNA, internal transcribed spacer 2, and large subunit ribosomal RNA". The stretch from base 1 to 120 matches the Rfam family "5.8S ribosomal RNA", at positions 35 to 154 of the family's 154-position model. The record is from RNAcentral.